UUUCCGGUUGAUCCCGCCGGAGGCCAUUGCUAUCAGGGUUUGACUAAGCCAUGCGAGUCGAGAGGUGUAAGACCUCGGCAUACUGCUCAGUAACACAUGGAUAAUCUGCCCUUGGGUGGAGAAUACUCCCGGGAAACUGGGGUUAAUGCUCCAUAGUGGAUAUAUACUGGAAUGUUAUAUCCUCGAAAGAUCCGUCGCCCAAGGAUGAGUCUAUGUCCGAUUAGGUAGUUGGCGGGGUAACGGCCCACCAAGCCUUUGAUCGGUACGGGUUGUGGGAGCAAGAUCCCGGAGAUGGAUUCUGAGACAUGAAUCCAGGCCCUACGGGGCGCAGCAGGCGCGCAAACUUUACAAUGCGAGCAAUCGUGAUAAGGAAACCCUGAGUGCCUGUCGAUGCAGGCUGUUCAUAUAUCUAAAUCAUAUGUGAAGAAAGGGCAGGGCAAGACCGGUGCCAGCCGCCGCGGUAAUACCGGCUGCUCGAGUGAUGGCCACUAUUACUGGGUUUAAAGCGUCCGUAGCUUGAUUGUUAGGUCUCUUGGGAAAUCUUCACGCUCAACGUGAAGGCGUCCAAGAGAUACCGGCAAUCUUGGAACUGGGAGAGGUAAACCGUACUUCGGGGGUAGGAGUGAAAUCUUGUAAUCCUCGAGGGACGACCUAUGGCGAAAGCAGUUUACCAGAACAGCUUCGACAGUGAGGGACGAAAGCUGGGGGAGCAAACGGGAUUAGAUACCCCGGUAGUCCCA
RNAcentral lists this ribosomal RNA (740 nucleotides) under uncultured Methanocorpusculum sp. RNAcentral describes it as "bacterial SSU rRNA". It matches the Rfam family "Archaeal small subunit ribosomal RNA", at positions 1 to 749 of the family's 1478-position model. The record is from RNAcentral. Lineage: Archaea; Methanobacteriati; Methanobacteriota; Methanomicrobia; Methanomicrobiales; Methanocorpusculaceae.